AUGGUCCUGCUCACCGCCGUCCACUUCGCCAAGCAGGGCUUCGUCGUCGCCGCCGUCGACCACCAGGGGCACGGCUUCUCCGAGGGCUUCCAGGCCCACAUCCCGGACAUCGGCCCCGUGCUCGACGACUGCGAGGCCGGCUUCGCCCCCUUCCGCGCUGACUACCCUCCCCCGCUGCUCUGCUUCCUCUACGGGGAGUCCCUCGGCGGCGCCAUCGCGCUGCUGCUGCACCUCACCAAAUCAGACACAGGUGUCGCGCGCGCGAGCAUCGCACCGCCCAGGGCCCGCAGCCCGCAGGCACUGAAGCAAGAUGUGGACGCCCGCAUCGUUCCGCUGCAGCCGCCGUCGGUGGGUCCAGGGCAGCACCUCCUCCGUGUCGCCCGUCAAACCACCGCCCCGGCCCCGGCGCCACCCGCAACAGCCCGACGCCGUGCUGCCGCGCCGAACCCGGCGAGGCGGCCUCCAUUCUCCCAAGCGAGCACGCCUUCCAUCUUAUCGUCUUCCGCCGCGACGCCUCGCCCCAAGCGAGAAGGCCAGCCGCCGGGACGCCUCGCCCCCUUCCUAGGCUCGGGCGGCGCGGACGCCCGCCGUGACACCUCUCCCCUUCCUUGGCUACCGCGGCGACGCCUCGCCCAUUCCUGGGCUCGGGCGGCGCGGACGCCGCCGGCAAGAUGCGGUGGUGGAGGACGGCGCGCAGGCGCCGGCGGCGAGCGGCGUGCCCGGCGGUGGAGUACGGCAAUGUAUAAGCCGCGGCGGAGAACGGCAAUGGACGCAGGGGGCUUUUUGCAAAAUCCAACCGUUUUUUCAGGACCACACAUUAAAUAG
Molecule: ribosomal RNA, 825 nt
Filed under: Triticum aestivum (bread wheat)
Lineage: Eukaryota; Viridiplantae; Streptophyta; Magnoliopsida; Poales; Poaceae
Description: partial small subunit ribosomal RNA
Source: RNAcentral